ACGGGUGCAGGGGAUUACCAGGUAAAACUACGCAACCUGGUACGUUUCCUUAGUGAUGGGGACAAGACCAAGGUAACCAUGCGGUUCCGCGGUCGUGAGCACGCACAUCGCGAGCUGGGGCUGGAACUCCUGCAGCGGGUGGAAGCCGAUUUGGCCGAAUAUGGUCAGGUGGAGCAGAAACCGGCGAUGGAAGGCCGCCAGAUGGUGAUGGUGCUGGGUCCCAAGAAAAAGUAACCAAAAAGGCAGGCCCAAUAGUGGGAUCCCGCCACAAAUUGCGGAGUUGAAGCAAUGCCAAAAAUCAAGACCAAUCGUGGUGCCGCGAA
Molecule: small RNA, 323 nt
Filed under: endosymbiont of Ridgeia piscesae
Lineage: Bacteria; Pseudomonadati; Pseudomonadota; Gammaproteobacteria
Description: Long range pseudoknot
Source: RNAcentral